UUUGGUGGUAUUAUUUUGUGUCUAUUUGGGUGGGCACAAGAGUGCCUUGGCAUGCAUGUGGAGGUCAGAAGACCAUUCUUCCUCCCUAUGCGUCCUGAAGAGUCAGCUAGAGCAGCAAGUGCCUUUACCUACAGAACCAUCUUGCUGGGCCCAUGUUUUGUUUUGGGGAAUGUGGUUUUGCGCCUGCAAACCUUCAGGUGUCACGAGAUAACCAGGAGACUACUCCUAUUCCUAUGGCUUCCAGCAAUGGAGCCUGCACUGGGGUUCACUGAGUUACCUCCCCUCCCCUUUGUGAGCCUCUCUAGAGAGUAGGGGCUAGCCUGGGAUUCACUGUGCCACCCAAAUGGCCUCCAAAACUGGCAGUCCUUGUGCCCUGCCUCCUAAGUACUAAGGCAUGGUGAGCACCACGCCUGGAACUCACUGUUGAUUACACUGUAAUUCUGGACUUGGGUGGGCUUCUCCUGUAAGAGCAGCCCCUCUCUGCUCUAAGGACCCAGGCUACUGACUCUGCUUUGUCUCGCCAG
This 524-nucleotide long non-coding RNA is filed under the name Rattus norvegicus (Norway rat). RNAcentral describes it as "long non-coding RNA NONRATT013742". Lineage: Eukaryota; Metazoa; Chordata; Mammalia; Rodentia; Muridae. The record is from RNAcentral.